Molecule: ribosomal RNA, 425 nt
Filed under: uncultured Sulfuricurvum sp.
Lineage: Bacteria; Pseudomonadati; Campylobacterota; Epsilonproteobacteria; Campylobacterales; Sulfurimonadaceae
Description: bacterial SSU rRNA
Rfam family: Bacterial small subunit ribosomal RNA
Source: RNAcentral
GUGAGGAAUAUUGCACAAUGGAGGAAACUCUGAUGCAGCAACGCCGCGUGGAGGAUGACGCAUUUCGGUGUGUAAACUCCUUUUAAGAGGGAAGAUUAUGACGGUACCUCUUGAAUAAGCACCGGCUAACUCCGUGCCAGCAGCCGCGGUAAUACGGAGGGUGCAAGCGUUACUCGGAAUCACUGGGCGUAAAGGGUGCGUAGGCUGACUUUUAAGUCAGGCGUGAAAUCCAAUGGCUUAACCAUUGAACUGCGCUUGAAACUGGGAGUCUAGAGUUCAGAAGGGGCAGAUGGAAUUAGUGGUGUAGGGGUAAAAUCCGUAGAUAUCACUAGGAAUAUCAAAAGCGAAGGCGAUCUGCUGGGAUGAUACUGACGCUGAGGCACGAAAGCGUGGGGAGCAAACAGGAUUAGAAACCCUAGUAGUCC